UACGUAGGGGGCGAGCGUUGUCCGGAUUUAUUGGGCGUAAAGAGCUCGUAGGCGGUUUGGCAAGUCGGGUGUGAAAACUCCGGGCUCAACUCGGAGACGCCACUCGAUACUGCUAUGACUCGAGUCCGGUAGGGGAGUGCGGAAUUCCUGGUGUAGCGGUGAAAUGCGCAGAUAUCAGGAAGAACACCCGUGGCUAAGGCGGCUCUCUAGUACGGUACUGACGCUGAGACGCGAAAGCUAGGGGAGCAAACGGG
RNAcentral lists this ribosomal RNA (254 nucleotides) under uncultured bacterium. RNAcentral describes it as "partial 16S ribosomal RNA". It matches the Rfam family "Bacterial small subunit ribosomal RNA", at positions 524 to 776 of the family's 1533-position model. The record is from RNAcentral.